GGCCCGUUGUUGUUGCAACCGCGCUACAAUGCAACGUCGUUCCGCGUAACGUCAUCGGUAGACCAUCGCCAGGUAGCGCGUAGCCGAAGGGAUAAAGAGCCACGGGUACUUCCGAUUAGGAACCCUGACACGGCCGUAUAAACAGACGAUUUAUUUCUUUCGUAAUCACCUGCACAGCUUUUCUGGGAAUCUCAUAACUUGAAUCUGCUAUUAAUUGACUGCGCUUCGGAAACUGACGUCAACAACUUUUGCUAGGUGCUUCGUGGGGAAAGGACUAAAAAGUUGCUUACGAUCUACCGAAUAAGUACAAGUGCGCGGUACAGAAAUCUUUAUUAAAGAGUUAUAAUUUCCUUACGCAUGAUGUGCAAAAGGAAGGUAAAAGAGAUGCGAAAGUGUGGUAAUGAGGGAUCAUUCGCAAGCGUUCGAUAGCAAACUAGGAAUUUCAAGCUCGCUCAUCGAUCAUGCGGUGGUUUCGCUGGAUUUUGUUCAGUCUGCUUCGAACGAAACCGGUACAGCCUACGGCGCAUCGCGGCGAGGAAAAGGAAGAUGGCAAGACCAGAUGGAAUAGAAGAAUGAAGGAGCAACUAGAAUUAUUCACGACGAUAAUGCAUCUAUUUAUUUGUUAUCGGAAAAGUCAAGAAUAAAAUCAAUUAUUGCACGAUAAACGAUAAAACAUAAUA
This is a long non-coding RNA of Ooceraea biroi (clonal raider ant), 680 nucleotides long. RefSeq lists it as uncharacterized. The record is from RefSeq and is a predicted model, not a curated record. Lineage: Eukaryota; Metazoa; Arthropoda; Insecta; Hymenoptera; Formicidae.